RNAcentral lists this ribosomal RNA (120 nucleotides) under Lepisosteus oculatus (spotted gar). The record is from RNAcentral. Lineage: Eukaryota; Metazoa; Chordata; Actinopteri; Semionotiformes; Lepisosteidae.
UAAAGCAGCUAUAUCACCCCACAACUCACAACUGACAACCCACUGAAGCUACAGUAAGUGGGUGUGAGCCUGGUCAGUACCUGGAUGGGAGACCUCCUGGGAAAACUUUUGUUGCUUCUG